CUUCUCUGUAACAAAGACACGGAUGACAAAUGCUACCGUGCUCAUUAGCCAAGACAAGCUGAAGAGAAUGAAGCGCUUCCCAUCAAAUUUAGCUGAUGCUACAAAGAAAAGCAACUACAUCAGACAUGAAGAGGAAUUACUUCGCUGCAUGGGUUACAGGAUUACAGGUCAUGUUAUAUAUAUGCAAAACCUCAUGUUUGUUUUUGUCCCAUAUUGGCAUUAAUACCUACAAUAUUUACAUACAAUUUAUGUUUUGAUCCUUACACCAUGUUGAUCAAAAAUGCUGCUUAAAACACUGGGUUUAUUAAUAGGCUAGAAUGCACCUCUGUUCUUGUAAUUUCAGGUAGAUGCCACUAGAGGACUAUAAAGCUCAUGGAUUAUUGCACACAUCUAUAAAACAUUUCGAUAAUUUUAUGUUUUUAUGUAUCUGCCUACUGUGGGAAAUGUCACAGAGAGCCCACUCUCUCUCAAAAACACAGAUUUUGGCCGGUUAUUGCAAGCACAUGUUUGUUUGUUUCUUUGUUUUUUUUAAUUUCUCAGUGUCCCCUGGCAGAAUAAUUACAAGAGUAGUAAUUACAGUCACAAGUUGCAAACCCCCGAAGGAACUGCAGGCAAUUAAAGGUAGGAGGAUGAAGAUAAUUACAAGCUUACUAAAUUCAGUCGAAUCCUCAGAUCCCAAAUCUUACCUGCCCUCCUCACCCUGGGCACCGUGUCUGAGGAGCGUGUGAGGACAUGAUCUGUUCCACCACAAGUGAAGAAUCACAGUCCUUAAACGACGAUUAAAUCACCCACAGAUGCGUGAACACUGUGAUGAAACCAAAUUCUUACUGUGA
Oreochromis aureus is the source of this 833-nucleotide long non-coding RNA. RefSeq lists it as uncharacterized. NCBI's taxonomy places the organism in Eukaryota, Metazoa, Chordata, Actinopteri, Cichliformes, Cichlidae. The record is from RefSeq and is a predicted model, not a curated record. The transcript is spliced from 3 exons.